Molecule: long non-coding RNA, 490 nt
Organism: Alnus glutinosa
Lineage: Eukaryota; Viridiplantae; Streptophyta; Magnoliopsida; Fagales; Betulaceae
Exons: 3
Source: RefSeq, a predicted model, not a curated record
AUGAAAUGCCUCAACCGUUUUUUAUUUUAGCCUAAUUUCUAAUUGAGAGCCCCUUUUAUACCAGAUUUGGGACGUUUGGAAAGGACUCGGGCUGAACUCCAAGACCCUGCAGAUUCAGUGCUUUUGUUGGAGGUUCAAGCAGAUCUUCGAAAGAAAGAGAAGAAGCUGAGAGACAUCUUGAGGAGUGGAAGCUGCAUGUUAAAGAGGUUCCAAAAGUGUCAAGAAGACGGCAUAGAUCACCAUUUCUUCUUCUCUCAAGUCGACAUGAAAUUAGUGUCGAGGGUCUUAAACAUGUCUAGGAUUACAUCCGACCAACUAGUUUGGUGUCGCAGUAAAUUAAGUCAGAUUGGUUUUGUGAACAAAAAGAUGCAUGUAGAACCAUCCUUCUUGCUUUUUCCAUGUUGACAGCAUUAGCUUUGUCACGGCACACAUGUACAUAAUAGAUAUUAGAUAGAGAUCUCAAAGUAACAAGUUUCGAAAAUUUUGGCUA